AACUAGAGCUGUGGUUGGUACACUCACUUUUCAGUUAUUGACACAUUUUGAGUACAGCUCCCUGACACAGGUGGUUAGGGUGUAGGUUAAGAUUCAGCAUUUUUUUAAACAUUGCAUGUUCUGUGCAUUUUAAAAUAGGAAAACCAUUUUGUCAUUUAUGAGACCCAGUUCAUUCACUACACAAUUUAUGAAGUCAUGACUGCUUAAAGGGGGCAACAUAAAAACAGCACCUUCUUAUUUUGCUCUGGAUCUUUCUUUACCUCAGAUAUGGAAGGACCUCAAUCUUAUUUUGAAAGUGUGCAUUUUCCUUAAACCUCAAUGUAUUUUUAACCAUUUGCAAAUUCAAGAAAACAUAAUAAACUUAAAACAAUGUUUGCCCUCUUUUAAUAACACUGGUGUUACUAUAGCUCUGACAAACAUGUUGGUCUGGCCCCGCAACAGUCCAUAAUCUCUCUUUCAUACUACUACUUGUGUUCUGCCAAGAGUGCAUCUUAUGGAUAAUCAUUUGAUAGUUAACUAUCUGAACACAUAAUUUAAAACUCGUAAUUAUCUUUAUGCAUGUAGUACUGCCUAAGGAUGGAUCGAACAAUAUUGGAGGUGCAUUUCGCAGCUUACCGAGGGACUCUCAAUUACUUUCAUGGCAGGGCAUGUCCUCCCCCCAGUGAAUGUCGACUUGUUCUUUUCUGCAAGGAAGACUUCAUUCUGGGUGAAUCUAAAGGCUACAUGGAUCGGCAGUUAAGUCGCCGUAUCUUCAGCAACAACAAGCUCUUCCUGGUAUAGAUGAACGAGUAGAACAACCUGUUCAUGCAGCCUGGUGGCAACCUCACCACAGUCUGGAAGAGCUUUAGGGAUGACUUGGGACCUGAGUGCAGAAUUUGAAGCAAAUGUGACUUCAACCCUCUUGAUCGAUGAGAGAAACAGCACUGAACUUCAAUUUUGGAUAUAACCCUGAACAAUGGUCAUCAAUCACAUGACAUGCAGCUCGCCACCAGA
Dreissena polymorpha is the source of this 993-nucleotide long non-coding RNA. RefSeq lists it as uncharacterized. The transcript is spliced from 3 exons. The record is from RefSeq and is a predicted model, not a curated record. NCBI's taxonomy places the organism in Eukaryota, Metazoa, Mollusca, Bivalvia, Myida, Dreissenidae.